UAGAGUUUGAUCCUGGCUCAGGAUGAACGCUGGCGGCGUGCUUAACACAUGCAAGUCGAACGAACCUUCGGGUUAGUGGCGGACGGGUGAGUAACACGUGAGAAUCUGCCCUCAGGAGGGGGAUAACGGUUGGAAACGACCGCUAAUACCCCAUAUGCCGAUAGGUGAAAUGAAUUUCGCCUGAGGAUGAGCUCGCGUCUGAUUAGCUUGUUGGUGAGGUAAUGGCUCACCAAGGCUUCGAUCAGUAGCUGGUCUGAGAGGAUGAUCAGCCACACUGGGACUGAGACACGGCCCAGACUCCUACGGGAGGCAGCAGUGGGGAAUUUUCCGCAAUGGGCGAAAGCCUGACGGAGCAACGCCGCGUGAGGGACGAAGGCCUCUGGGCUGUAAACCUCUUUUCUCAAGGAAGAAGAUAUGACGGUACUUGAGGAAUAAGCCACGGCUAAUUCCGUGCCAGCAGCCGCGGUAAUACGGGAGUGGCAAGCGUUAUCCGGAAUUAUUGGGCGUAAAGCGUCCGCAGGCGGCCUUUCAAGUCUGUUGUUAAAGCGUGGAGCUUAACUCCAUUAUGGCAGUGGAAACUGAAAGGCUUGAGUAUGGUAGGGGCAGAGGGAAUUCCCGGUGUAGCGGUGAAAUGCGUAGAUAUCGGGAAGAACACCAGUGGCGAAGGCGCUCUGCUGGGCCAUUACUGACGCUCAUGGACGAAAGCCAGGGGAGCGAAAGGGAUUAGAUACCCCUGUAGUCCUGGCCGUAAACGAUGAACACUAGGUGUCGGGGGAAUCGACCCCUUCGGUGUCGUAGCUAACGCGUUAAGUGUUCCGCCUGGGGAGUACGCACGCAAGUGUGAAACUCAAAGGAAUUGACGGGGGCCCGCACAAGCGGUGGAGUAUGUGGUUUAAUUCGAUGCAACGCGAAGAACCUUACCAGGGUUUGACAUCCUGAGAACCUCUUAGAAAUUUGAGGGUGCCUUCGGGAAUUCAGUGACAGGUGGUGCAUGGCUGUCGUCAGCUCGUGUCGUGAGAUGUUGGGUUAAGUCCCGCAACGAGCGCAACCCACGUUUUUAGUUGCCAGCAUUUAGUUGGGCACUCUAGAAAGACCGCCGGUGAUAAACCGGAGGAAGGUGUGGAUGACGUCAAGUCAUCAUGCCCCUUACACCCUGGGCUACACACGUACUACAAUGCCACGGACAAAGGGCAGCAAACUCGCGAGAGCUAGCAAAUCCCAUAAACCGUGGCUCAGUUCAGAUCGUAGGCUGCAACUCGCCUACGUGAAGUAGGAAUCGCUAGUAAUCGCAGGUCAGCAUACUGCGGUGAAUACGUUCCCGGGCCUUGUACACACCGCCCGUCACACCAUGGAAGUUGGCCAUGCCCGAAGUCGUUACUCCAACCCUUGUGGAGGAGGACGCCGAAGGUGGGGCUAAUGACUGGGGUGAAGUCGUAACAAGGUAACCA
This 1448-nucleotide ribosomal RNA is filed under the name uncultured bacterium. RNAcentral's name for it is "bacterial SSU rRNA". It matches the Rfam family "Bacterial small subunit ribosomal RNA". The record is from RNAcentral.